UUUAAGGGUAAAAUUCAUUUCUGUUAAAAGAAAAAAGGCAAAAGUUGGCAACUUAGGUACUGAUUUUUUUUUUUGAUAUCUUUGCCAUAGGGAAACUUAAUUUUUUCAUGUGUGGUAAGUAAGUAUAUGUGAAUUAGUUUAGUAGCUACUGCCAUUCAUUUCCCCAUUCAUACAGUACUAAUUCAAAAGUGUUACGAUUUAACUAACGCCCUGUACUGUAUUUACUGAGAAGGGGUCUUUGUUUCCUGUUCUAAUAUAUUAUUGAUCUUUCAGGCCCACAGCAGCAGAACUUUUAAAAUGCAAAUUUUUCCAGAAAGCCAAGAAUAGAGAAUACCUGAUUGAAAAGCUUCUCACUAGAACACCUAAUAUUGCACAAAGAGC
Meleagris gallopavo (turkey) is the source of this 381-nucleotide non-coding RNA. The record is from RefSeq and is a predicted model, not a curated record. NCBI's taxonomy places the organism in Eukaryota, Metazoa, Chordata, Aves, Galliformes, Phasianidae.